GGAGGCCGCAUCUUAUUGGCAGGAAGAGUCCACAACCUUCACAGAUGGCGCCUUUACUCAUGAACCUACUGGGUCUCAAGAGGUCUAGCUUUUUUACCGCGAGACUAUGCGAGAGUUUAGCAUUAACGUUUGUUUAGUCAGCAGAAAUAACAUGGACAAAAGGAAAUACAUGCUCUUUUGAGAUGCUUGGAUCUCAGCAAAUGCAAGUUUUGGUGAUUUUUUUUCCAGCUAACGUAGUUUUUGACUUAAAAGUUCGCCGUUAUUUUAUUAUUUUAAGUUUGGUUCGUCUUUCGUCCUGUAAAGCACCUACACCGUGCAGCGUGCACGUUGUGAUCCCUCACCGCUCCACUGUGGAGGAAUAGAGAUACAGAAGGGAGCAGAGCUGGAUACUGCUCAGCUGCAGUGAUAAAGCAGCUGGUGUGCUGCCACGGAACAACCUGCUGCUUAGUGCUCAGGACACAAGAUGGUGCCCAGUCACAUACAUGGCAACGCUGGAAGCUGGUAGCUGUUCAACCUCAGCGUUAGCAGGAUUCACAGACUGACAAUUUCCCACGAAUGCAAGAGUAACGAGCAAAGACUGACAAAUGAUUGUGGUUAUAACAGUGCUUAUUUAAUAAUAAUAUUGAGUUAAAAUCUAGUCAGCUGUUUAAAAUACUGAAAUAUAUAGAUUUUUACUAUGAUAAGCAAACAGUAUUAUGUAACCACAAAGAAAACAAUUAUUAACAAAGUAACAGUAACAUCAGAAAUUAUUAGUUAUUUUGCAAUAAGUAUUUUUUUUUUAUUAUUAGUUUGAUAGUUUCCUAUUGUAAUCAGAUAUGCUUUGUAAGUACUGGAUUGUAGUGUGUUAUAAUGUAGUCUAUACUGUCCACAGACUCCAUAUUCUUGCAGCAGUCUCCCUUGUAGUCUAUGCACAAUAAAAUCCCAAUUUUAUUUAUUAACAUAAGAUUUAUUUUAUUAACAUAAAUAUCUUGAUGUUAUAUUUGAAGCUAUAACAAACAUUUACAAUCCUAUUAUUAUAAUAAAUGUUGAAUCAAAAUAAUAUUUAUGUUAAUAAUGAUUUGCAACUCUUAAGUUGAACAAAUGUUUACAUGUAAAUAUAAAAACCCUAAUGUUGUGUGCUAUUUAUAACUGGCAAGAUAAUAAAUGUAAUGUAAAGUAGCAACAUGAAUUUACUACCACCUGACAAUUGGUUGAAUAAAUAAAUACUUUCCAUGCU
Long non-coding RNA from Betta splendens (Siamese fighting fish), 1216 nucleotides. RefSeq lists it as uncharacterized. NCBI's taxonomy places the organism in Eukaryota, Metazoa, Chordata, Actinopteri, Anabantiformes, Osphronemidae. The transcript is spliced from 3 exons. The record is from RefSeq and is a predicted model, not a curated record.